RNAcentral lists this ribosomal RNA (1609 nucleotides) under metagenome. Its description in RNAcentral is "bacterial LSU rRNA". It matches the Rfam family "Bacterial large subunit ribosomal RNA", at positions 1278 to 2910 of the family's 2925-position model. The record is from RNAcentral.
UCGGUGAGUAAAGCAAAUGUAGGAAUAAGUAACGAUAAGGAGGGUUAGAUUCCCUCCCGCUGUAAGACCAAGGUUUCCCGGGCAAUGCCAAUCAGCCCGGGGUCAGUCGGGUCCUAAGUCUAAGCCGAACGGCGAUGGCGAUGGCAGAGACGGUUAAUAUUCCGUCACUGCCGCAUGGGGCGACGUGGAGACGGAGCAGUGAAACCACCGCGGGGCGACGGAAGUCCCCGUUGAAGAGUGUAGGCGUUGAGGAUGGCAGGCAAAUCCACCGUCCGAGCUGAACUUGAUAGUAUGGAGUCUUCUUCGGAAGAAUCCAAUAGUGUGGGUAAUCAUACUCCCGAGAAAAUCCGCUAAGCUUAACCCAUGCGGCACCCGUACCGCAAACGGACACACGUGGUCGGGUAGAACAUACUGAGGCGUUGAGAGAUUCAUGGUUAAGGAACUAGGCAAAUUGACCCUGUAACUUCGGGAUAAAGGGUCCUCGUGAAGAGCGAGGCGCAGAGAAUAGGUCCAGGCAACUGUUUAACAAAAACACAGGGCUGUGCAAACUCGAAAGAUGACGUAUACAGCCUGACACCUGCCCGGUGCCGGAAGGUUAAGAGGAGAUGUCACACUUAUGUGGAAGCAUUGAAUUGAAGCCCCGGUAAACGGCGGCCGUAACCAUAACGGUCCUAAGGUAGCGAAAUUCCUUGUCGGGUAAGUUCCGACCUGCACGAAUGGUGUAAUGAUCCGGACGCUGUCUCAACCAUGAGCUCAGUGAAAUUGUAGUAUCGGUGAAGAUGCCGAUUACCCGCGAUGGGACGAAAAGACCCCGUGAACCUUUACUACAGCUUAGCAUUGACCUUGGUCAUCCGAUGUGUAGGAUAGGCCGGAGGCUUCGAAGCGGGAGCGCCAGCUUUCGUGGAGCCAUCCUUGAAAUACGGCCCUUUGGCUGUCUGAGGUCUAACGCGCGAUGCGCGGACACUGCUUGGUGGGUAGUUUGACUGGGGUGGUCGCCUCCAAAAGCGUAACGGAGGCUUCCAAAGGUGCCCUCGGGUCGAUUGGUAACCGACCUCAAAGAGUGCAAUGGCAUAAGGGCGCUUGACUGGGAGGCAGACAUGCCGAGCAGGCAGGAAACUGGGGCAUAGUGAUCCGGCGGAUGCGUAUGGAAACUCCGUCGCUCAAAGGAUAAAAGGUACUCCGGGGAUAACAGGCUGAUCCCCCCCAAGAGCUCAUAUCGACGGGGUGGUUUGGCACCUCGAUGUCGGCUCGUCACAUCCUGGGGCUGGAGAAGGUCCCAAGGGUUGGGCUGUUCGCCCAUUAAAGUGGCACGCGAACUGGGUUCAGAACGUCGUGAGACAGUUCGGUCUCUAUCUAUCGUGGGCGUGGGAGUUUUGCGUGGUGCCGUCACUAGUACGAGAGGACCGUGAUGGACAGACCUCCGGUUUACCAGUUGUGCCGCCAGGCGCACCGCUGGGUAUCUGAGUCUGGAUUGGAUAAGCGCUGAAAGCAUCUAAGUGCGAAGCCAGCCGCAAGAUGAGAACUCCAUUGAGGGUCGUCAGAGACGAUGACGUUGAUAGGAUGCAGGUGUAAAGACAGCGAUGUCAAAGCCGAGCAUUACUAAUUGCCC